UACGUAGGGUGCAAGCGUUGCCCGGAAUUAUUGGGCGUAAAGCGCGCGCAGGCGGUCCUUUAAGUCUGAUGUGAAAGCCCACGGCUCAACCGUGGAGGGUCAUUGGAAACUGGGGGACUUGAGUACAGAAGAGAAGAGUGGAAUUCCACGUGUAGCGGUGAAAUGCGUAGAGAUGUGGAGGAACACCAGUGGCGAAGGCGACUCUUUGGUCUGUAACUGACGCUGAGGCGCGAAAGCGUGGGGAGCGAACAGG
This 253-nucleotide ribosomal RNA is filed under the name uncultured bacterium. RNAcentral describes it as "partial 16S ribosomal RNA". It matches the Rfam family "Bacterial small subunit ribosomal RNA", at positions 524 to 776 of the family's 1533-position model. The record is from RNAcentral.